GAUGAACGCUGGCGGCGUGCUUAACACAUGCAAGUCGAACGAAGCGCUUUAACUUGAUUCUUCGGAUGAAGGUUUUUGUGACUGAGUGGCGGACGGGUGAGUAACGCGUGGGUAACCUGCCUCAUACAGGGGGAUAACAGUUAGAAAUGACUGCUAAUACCGCAUAAGACCACAAAGCCGCAUGGCUUAGUGGGAAAAACUCCGGUGGUAUGAGAUGGACCCGCGUCUGAUUAGGUAGUUGGUGGGGUAACGGCCUACCAAGCCAACGAUCAGUAGCCGACCUGAGAGGGUGACCGGCCACAUUGGGACUGAGACACGGCCCAAACUCCUACGGGAGGCAGCAGUGGGGAAUAUUGCACAAUGGGGGAAACCCUGAUGCAGCGACGCCGCGUGAGCGAAGAAGUAUUUCGGUAUGUAAAGCUCUAUCAGCAGGGAAGAAAAUGACGGUACCUGACUAAGAAGCACCGGCUAAAUACGUGCCAGCAGCCGCGGUAAUACGUAUGGUGCAAGCGUUAUCCGGAUUUACUGGGUGUAAAGGGAGCGUAGACGGCUGUGUAAGUCUGAAGUGAAAGCCCGGGGCUCAACCCCGGGACUGCUUUGGAAACUAUGCAGCUAGAGUGUCGGAGAGGUAAGUGGAAUUCCCAGUGUAGCGGUGAAAUGCGUAGAUAUUGGGAGGAACACCAGUGGCGAAGGCGGCUUACUGGACGAUGACUGACGUUGAGGCUCGAAAGCGUGGGGAGCAAACAGGAUUAGAUACCCUGGUAGUCCACGCCGUAAACGAUGACUACUAGGUGUCGGGGAGCAAAGCUCUUCGGUGCCGCAGCAAACGCAAUAAGUAGUCCACCUGGGGAGUACGUUCGCAAGAAUGAAACUCAAAGGAAUUGACGGGGACCCGCACAAGCGGUGGAGCAUGUGGUUUAAUUCGAAGCAACGCGAAGAACCUUACCUGCUCUUGACAUCCCGGUGACCGGCAUGUAAUGAUGCCUUUUCUUCGGAACACCGGUGACAGGUGGUGCAUGGUUGUCGUCAGCUCGUGUCGUGAGAUGUUGGGUUAAGUCCCGCAACGAGCGCAACCCUUAUCUUCAGUAGCCAGCAUUUUAGGUGGGCACUCUGGAGAGACUGCCAGGGAUAACCUGGAGGAAGGUGGGGAUGACGUCAAAUCAUCAUGCCCCUUAUGAGCAGGGCUACACACGUGCUACAAUGGCGUAAACAAAGGGAAGCAAACCUGCGAGGGUAAGCAAAUCUCAAAAAUAACGUCUCAGUUCGGAUUGUAGUCUGCAACUCGACUACAUGAAGCUGGAAUCGCUAGUAAUCGCGAAUCAGCAUGUCGCGGUGAAUACGUUCCCGGGUCU
This 1352-nucleotide ribosomal RNA is filed under the name uncultured bacterium. RNAcentral's name for it is "bacterial SSU rRNA". It matches the Rfam family "Bacterial small subunit ribosomal RNA", at positions 28 to 1381 of the family's 1533-position model. The record is from RNAcentral.